AACUAUAACGGUCCUAAGGUAGCGAAAUUCCUUGUCAGGUAAGUUCUGACCCGCACGAAUGGUGUAACGAUCUGGGCACUGUCUCAACAACCCGCCCGGCGAAAUUGUAGUACCGGUGAAGAUGCCGGUUACCCGCGACUAGACGGAAAGACCCCAUGGAGCUUUACUGCAGCUUAAUGUUGAAUUUCGGUAUUUCAUGUACAGGAUAGGUGGGAGACUGGGAACUACAGGCGUCAGCUUGUAGGGAGUCACUGUUGGGAUACCACUCUUGAAGUGCUGGAAUUCUAACCUGCGGCCUUGAAUCAGGUCGGGGGACAUCGUUAGGCGGGCAGUUUGACUGGGGCGGUCGCCUCCAAAAGAGUAACGGAGGCGCUCAAAGGUCAGCUCAGCAUGGAUGGAAACCAUGCAAGUGAGUGCAAACGCAAAAGCUGGCCUAACUGCGAGACUGACGGGUCGAGCAGUAACGAAAGUUGGAGUUAGUGAUCCGGUGGUAUGUGAGUGGAAAUGCCAUCGCUCAACGGAUAAAAGUUACCCUGGGGAUAACAGGCUGAUCUCCCCCAAGAGUCCACAUCGACGGGGAGGUUUGGCACCUCGAUGUCGGCUCAUCGCAUCCUGGGGCUGUAUUCGGUCCCAAGGGUUUGGCUGUUCGCCAAUUAAAGCGGUACGCGAGCUGGGUUCAGAACGUCGUGAGACAGUUCGGUCCCUAUCUGUCGUGGGCGAAGGAUAUUUGAAAGGAGCUGUCCCUAGUACGAGAGGACCGGGAUGGACGCACCUCUGGUGCACCAGUUGUCACGCCAGUGGCACAGCUGGGCAGCUAAGUGCGGAUCGGAUAAACGCUGAAAGCAUCUAAGCGUGAAGCCGUCCUUAAGAUAAGAUAUCCCAUGCGUAAGCAGUAAGACCCCUUGUAGACUACGAGGUUGAUAGGUUCAAGGUGUAAGCACGGUAACGUGUUCAGCCAGCGAAUACUAAUCGGUCGAGGGCUUAAACC
This 988-nucleotide ribosomal RNA is filed under the name human gut metagenome. RNAcentral describes it as "bacterial LSU rRNA". It matches the Rfam family "Bacterial large subunit ribosomal RNA", at positions 1938 to 2925 of the family's 2925-position model. The record is from RNAcentral.